UCACCUUUGCUGUGCAUUGGUUCCGAAAGGAAUAAAAGGGAAUCUGGUGAAAGACCAGAACUGUACCCGCAACUGUAAAUGCUCAUAAUGCUUGAAUUAAAAAGCCAUUGUUUUAAUGAGAAGGCAAUUCAAGAAAAGAGCAAAGUCAGGAGACCUACCAAGCAAAUAUAUUUUGA
Molecule: non-coding RNA, 176 nt
Filed under: Flammeovirga sp.
Lineage: Bacteria; Pseudomonadati; Bacteroidota; Cytophagia; Cytophagales; Flammeovirgaceae
Source: RNAcentral